This 464-nucleotide ribosomal RNA is filed under the name Streptococcus mitis. Its description in RNAcentral is "bacterial SSU rRNA". It matches the Rfam family "Bacterial small subunit ribosomal RNA", at positions 28 to 473 of the family's 1533-position model. Lineage: Bacteria; Bacillati; Bacillota; Bacilli; Lactobacillales; Streptococcaceae. The record is from RNAcentral.
GACGAACGCUGGCGGCGUGCCUAAUACAUGCAAGUAGAACGCUGAAGGAGGAGCUUGCUUCUCUGGAUGAGUUGCGAACGGGUGAGUAACGCGUAGGUAACCUGCCUGGUAGCGGGGGAUAACUAUUGGAAACGAUAGCUAAUACCGCAUAAGAGUAGAUGUUGCAUGACAUUUGCUUAAAAGGUGCAAUUGCAUCACUACCAGAUGGACCUGCGUUGUAUUAGCUAGUUGGUGGGGUAACGGCUCACCAAGGCGACGAUACAUAGCCGACCUGAGAGGGUGAUCGGCCACACUGGGACUGAGACACGGCCCAGACUCCUACGGGAGGCAGCAGUAGGGAAUCUUCGGCAAUGGACGGAAGUCUGACCGAGCAACGCCGCGUGAGUGAAGAAGGUUUUCGGAUCGUAAAGCUCUGUUGUAAGAGAAGAACGAUGUGUGAUGAUGUGGAAAGUUCACACUGUGAC